GGGACAACAGUUGGAAACGACUGCUAAUACCGCAUAAGCCCACGGUCUCGCAUGGGACUGGGGGAAAAGGAUUUAUUCGCUUCAGGAUGGACUCGCGUCCAAUUAGCUAGUUGGUGAGGUAACGGCCCACCAAGGCGACGAUUGGUAGCCGGACUGAGAGGUUGAACGGCCACAUUGGGACUGAGACACGGCCCAGACUCCUACGGGAGGCAGCAGUGGGGGAUAUUGCACAAUGGGGGAAACCCUGAUGCAGCGACGCCGCGUGGAGGAAGAAGGUUUUCGGAUUGUAAACUCCUGUCGUUAGGGACGAUAAUGACGGUACCUAACAAGAAAGCACCGGCUAACUACGUGCCAGCAGCCGCGGUAAAACGUAGGGUGCAAGCGUUGUCCGGAAUUACUGGGUGUAAAGGGAGCGCAGGCGGACCGGCAAGUUGGAAGUGAAAACCAUGGGCUCAACCCGUGAAUUGCUUUCAAAACUGCUGGCCUUGAGUAGUGCAGAGGUAGGUGGAAUUCCCGGUGUAGCGGUGGAAUGCGUAGAUAUCGGGAGGAACACCAGUGGCGAAGGCGACCUACUGGGCACCAACUGACGCUGAGGCUCGAAAGCAUGGGUAGCAAACAGGAUUAGAUACCCUGGUAGUCCAUGCCGUAA
Molecule: ribosomal RNA, 649 nt
Filed under: uncultured bacterium
Lineage: Bacteria
Description: bacterial SSU rRNA
Rfam family: Bacterial small subunit ribosomal RNA
Source: RNAcentral